Molecule: long non-coding RNA, 2394 nt
Organism: Oenanthe melanoleuca
Lineage: Eukaryota; Metazoa; Chordata; Aves; Passeriformes; Muscicapidae
Exons: 3
Source: RefSeq, a predicted model, not a curated record
UGGCUUUAUUUCUCAGGAUUGUCUUUGGCAAAUAGAGCCCUGCUGUGGCACCCUUGGACCAACAAGCAAUAUCCCAGGCUGCACCAUGACUUGCACCUUGGCUGCUCCUUUGAUCCAUGCUCAGAGGGAAAUUGCAGCUGGUUAUCCCUGGCAAGGCUGAGUUUGAGACACAAGGCUUGCUUUCCAUUGAUGGCCAAGGCCAUCAACCCCAAUUCCCUAAAAACACAGCACAAGCUGAUCAGACUAGACACUAACAAAACCAGAAUAAGAGAGGUGUUGGGUCCCACUUCAAGAGAGAAGGAUCAUGCUGCAGAUGCCCAGUGGUGCUGAACGUCACAGCUGAAACCACAACUUGCCUGCCAGGGGCAGAGGGAAGAUGGAUCAUCUUCCACAGCAGGGAGGGUGCAGGGAUGCAGUGAUGGGCUGUGCUCCAUGUAGAGAACAGCUGGAUGAGGAAACUAGUGAGGGAAGGCAGCAGCUCCUGUAUCUCCCUCUCCCCAGCACAGAGCAAGCUGCUGCACACCCAGGUGGGACAGGGACAGCACCUGUGAGAUUGACACUGGUCCUCCAUGUGGAAUUGCUAAUGUGGAGACUCUCCACAGUAGACUAAAUUUCCUACUGAAACAGUGAGAAGUCACAUUUCCAAAUCACAAGUUAUCUUUUAUUAAAAUGUAGUAUUCUUUGUGGCCAGUGCUGAUGUACCCAUAAGGACCCUCCUUAGGCACAUACUAUAUUAUUAUAUCCCCUGAGCCCAGGGGAAAUGAUGCAUACCCUCAGCCUGGAAAGUAUUGCAUACAAAAAAUGUGACAGAAGUUAUGCCAGUACCUCAUUAUACAUGGUUAUCCUGCUGCUAUACACAAAUUACUCUGAAAACACCAGAACUACAAACCAUAUAGACUCCUCUUUUAUUUUUCUUUUUCACAUUUCCCUGCAGUUUCCUUAUGGUUUUGAUGAAGUCUUUGUGUUUUGGGAGUAGUAUUCACACAAUGUGUUAGUCAUUGUGCAAGAAGCUAAGUGCAUUAAGGCUAACUGAAUGAGGAUCAGGAAGAAGGCUGGAAUUAAUAUCUUGGGGUACAUCUCAGUUAUGGGAAUCACAACAUUCUUGCCUGUGUCCAGUGGAGAACAGAUCUUAAGGGUAUGGAUACCAUGGCAGUAAGGAGCUGCCAACAGCACAGACUGACUUGGAGAUGUGAAUAUGUGUUUAAACUUUCUCUAAGGGAGGAAACAAUGCUUAAAACUGCACACAGCUUAUUUCCAUGCCUUUGUGUGAAGAAUAAAAUUAUCCUGUGUUUUGAAAUAGAGCAAAACAGCUGUUUAUGUAAAUUAGCUAAUGCAGUUCAAGAAAAAAAUCAAUGUUUCUAGAAAAUCAAUGGACUUAAUAGACAGCUGUUGAAGAAAGCAUGAACAUGGCAAUAUUUUAUAAAUUCAGCUGUUUGGAAGCUGGAGGCCUUUUCCUAGUUUUGUUUUGUUUUGAUUUUUUUUCUUUAAGUCUCAUAAAACGUAGUGCUUGAAUAGGUGAUACACAGACUGUUAAAAUGUCACUUCAAUUCACUAGAUGAAAGUUAACAAAUCCUACAUGCUGAAGCAAUGUGAAACCAAAUUUAACAAAAGUCAGGUGGCUGUUAUUUGUGUACUCUAGCACGAGUGCUGGCAACUGUGCAGUGAUAGAGGAUCAAAGCAAAACAAACAAAACCUUACAGUGCUUCUAUGCUUCCCCAAAACAAAACAACAGUAAUUAAUGUUGGAUAAAACACUUUUGGCUGUAAACUGCUAAAUAUACUCACAGAAUACAUUAUCCUCCCAAAGUAGCUGUUAUUCAUUAAAUAAAUUAUUCAAGAAUAGUCUUUUGCAGUAUUUGACCAUCUCUCUAUCUGGUUGAAAGCCAACUCAUUGAACAAAUUGUUUGAAAGAUAGCAGCUUGAUUCAUGUAUAAUGUAUUUGAAAAGCUUCUUUUCUGGUUCUUGCCAUCUCUGCUGAGACUAAGUGAUAUCCUGUGCUUUUAUUAAUAAUUUGUCAUAUGGCUAACAAAAAUGGAUAUAGGCAGCAUUAAAGGACAGGAUCUGACUUCUUGUCAGUGGGGGUUUUACCUUUCACUUUAAGUGGGUUCAGGGUUUCAACUGAAGUAUUUAAUGGUGACUUUGAAAUGUGAUAUGCAUUGUUAGUGUAUUUUUUUGUCCAUAUUCUAAGGAACUGAUUCUAUUCUAAUAUUCUAUGGUGAUGACAGUGUGCCAUAAUAUUUGGGUAUAAAUUUUCAAUAGAUGAUUGAUAUAGAAAUAGAAUCAUUAUCCAAGAUGAACAGAAAUGUUUGUGUUAGCUACUUCUCUUAAGAGUCAUUCAUUGAGCUUAUCUCAAUCUGUAAAUCACAGCAGGUGUGGAAAUUGCAGUAUGAAUACA